CAUGACAACAAUUUUGCUACUUUCACAACUUGGGCUAAGUACUUGAGGUCAGCUAAGAAAAGGUGAAAAAGUACAUAAUUGUGAUUGUAAGCAAUGGCCUGUACAAAGAUGUAUUCCUAGAACAUAGCAAACUAUCACUCUUGAAUGCAUAGUCGAGCUAAAUAGCAAAAACGACAAUACAUGGAACAAUUAUGAAUUGGGGCUUACCCUAGUGGUCACUGCUGUUACCUGAAUACUAUCAUCAACCUCCUACCAUGUCAAUUGGGUGACAAUUUACUUUGCCACAUCAGGUACCAAACCCGACCCAACCUUUAAUGGGGCAGGUUUUACUCGACUAGAAAUGGAUCCAGGGUGGGUGUGGGGAAUAAUAAAAUCUGCUCCGAGCUCAAUCUGGAUAUAUAUAACUCUUUACAAAUCCCCUCCCCACCCUUUGUCCUAGUCGCUCCAUUCAUGAGAAAGAUAAAACAUGUGAAAGGUUACAUGCUAUAAUGCUUAGUUAUUAUUUUUUUUAGUUGAUUGCUUUUCUUAGUAUAAGAGACAUUGGACUUUUUUAAAGGACAAUAUUUUUGUUUGUUAUGUUUCUAUUAUUGUUGAGCAUUUGGCUUGUUAUAUUCUAGGUCUUCGCUUCUUAUUUUGUUUAAUAUUACAUAAAGUACUAAGAUUUAAUUUUAUAUUCUUUUUUAUUUGUUUGAUUUGUAUGCAAAAGAAAUUGAUUUUUGCAGCUUUCUCUAAUCCGAUCCGAUCCGUCCAUCCUGCCUUGUCUAACUCAACCCGCCCUGCUCCGCUCUGAGACGAGUGGGGUGGGUAUGGGUAAUGGCCUAACCGACCCAUCACCAUCCGUAAUGUCGGAUACAUAUUCGAGUUGGAUAUGCAUUGAACACUUGAGUACCCAUUAAAUUUAUUCAAUUUUUAGAAAUUGAUAGAGUUAACUCUUCUAGCCAAGGUCUGUCGUACAGCCCCAUACCGUACCAUAAUGGAAGAAAACCGGUACGAAAUAUGCCUUUAAGUCGGUACAAGCUCCAUCCUACCUCUGUAUGAGGCAUAUCGACUUGUACCGAAGUGCAUACCGGUCCAUACCUAGGCGUACCGAAGUGUGUACCAGUCCAUACCGAGACAAACUGAGAUAAAAAUCAAGAAAAUGGGUCAGAGAGCUAUUUCGGUACAGAGGUGUAUCGUGCCAUACUGAAUUGAUAUGGUACCGAUACGUUACUCGUGAGAUUGCGAGUCUUGUUUCUAGCCAUUGUUUUGACCCAUUAUAAUAAUGUUUAAGGGAGGUUUUAUUCUUUUAAGAGAUUGACUAAGAAUAUUCAUACUAAAGUAAUUUUACAAAUUCUCAUUUUCC
This 1342-nucleotide long non-coding RNA is filed under the name Phoenix dactylifera (date palm). Its description in RNAcentral is "long non-coding RNA (PDAC_LNC014977)". Lineage: Eukaryota; Viridiplantae; Streptophyta; Magnoliopsida; Arecales; Arecaceae. The record is from RNAcentral.